This 253-nucleotide ribosomal RNA is filed under the name uncultured bacterium. RNAcentral's name for it is "partial 16S ribosomal RNA". It matches the Rfam family "Bacterial small subunit ribosomal RNA", at positions 524 to 776 of the family's 1533-position model. The record is from RNAcentral.
UACGGAGGGUGCGAGCGUUGUCCGGAAUCAUUGGGCGUAAAGGGCGCGUAGGUGGCUUCUUAAGCGUGCGGUGAAAGCCUGGGGCUCAACCCCGGGUCGGCCGUGCGAACUGGGGGGCUGGAGCACUGUAGAGGCAGGCGGAAUUCCGGGUGUAGCGGUGGAAUGCGUAGAGAUCCGGAAGAACACCGGUGGCGAAGGCGGCCUGCUGGGCAGUUGCCGACACUGAGGCGCGACAGCGUGGGGAGCAAACAGG